This 2536-nucleotide long non-coding RNA is filed under the name Lynx canadensis (Canada lynx). RNAcentral describes it as "lncRNA (ENSLCNG00005017168.1)". Lineage: Eukaryota; Metazoa; Chordata; Mammalia; Carnivora; Felidae. The record is from RNAcentral.
ACAGGUUCUCUCUCUCUCUCUCUCUCUCUCUUUCAAAAGUAAACAUUAAAAAAAUAAACUUUAAAAAUAUAUCAUAUAUGUAUUAUAUGAUAUAUAUUUUUUAGAUCACUGUGUUUUGGGGUCUUUGUUAUAUCAGCUUAAUCUAGACCCUAGCUUAUACUGCCUCAGUGUGCCAUACAAAUAUUCAUUUUGUUUCUGUUUGUGCCGUGAUGAAGGUUGGGAAUCACCAUGACCUGGACCAUUUCUUCUUUGUCCCUUUUGCUAACUCCUCCUCCCCAGUGUCAUCAAGGGGGAAAUCCUUUCCCUCCUACCUAUUCAGCUCUCACAAGUCUUUCUUCUGCUCUGCCCGGUCUGAGUCGAACAGUGACACCAGGAAAACCAAGCCUCCCAAAGUUUAUCUCCAUGCUUCUGAGCUAGGUCAUAAGGCAAGAAGCUGCCAAAAUUAAUAUGAACUUCGGGCUCCUUGGCUUACUGGUACCUUUGGACGAGCCCCACUAGAGCGCUCCUCUCCCAGGAGGAGCCUCACACUUCCAGGGCUUCUUGACAACAGCACCUGGGGGCUGCGCUGGUGGGCAGGGGUCCAUAGAACUGUCCUUCCUCCACCCUUCAGAGUUGAUUCCUUUCCACCUCUGACUUCGGUGCCCUUCAUCCGCCCCCCGCCAGUACCCCUUCUCUUGUGCAAGAACACCACUUGAGGCCCUAGCCCUAGCUUGGCUGGCUGGAACCGGAAGCCGAGGGGAUUUGGCUCUGGGGCGCACCAGUGCCCGCCAGUUGUGCGGGUUAGAUCACUCGGAGCACCUGCUUCUCCCUCCUGAACUACGAGCCCCAACGUCCUUCGAGACGGAUCGGUUCCAGCCUUCCCCCAACUACAUUUCCCAGAGUCCACCGGGGCCCUUUUGGGCCCUCUGAAGCGCGUGGCAGCCUGCGUGCCUGGCCUUUCUUUAAGGUGAGAGGAGGGGGCGGGGUGUGUGUGUUUCUGUAUGAUUUUCGCAAAGGCCUUGGGCGCUGCUUCUCUCCUGCUGCACGUGAGGUGGUGCGGCCUCCUGCCCCUCUUCCUCCCUCCCACUCCCCGUCAGGAAAAAAAGCUGUGAACUCAAACUCCCAGAGCCUAGGGCAAGUUCCGUGGAAGAAUGCAGCCGUUUUGACCCGGAUGCAGGCCCUCUUUGGUGUUUGAGUGACUCAAAACCAGACUUCUGGGGUUUUUUUUUGCGGGGGGUGGGGGGCGUGAAGAACCUUAAUGUGUAUCAGGGGCCAGAGAAGGAAGCGGAAUGAGUUUGAAAUCAUGCAUGAUUGGAAGCUGCGAGACAGGUGUGGAGUCUUCUGUCUCCUUUUUCUUCCUCCAGACUUCUAGAACUCUAGGCCUAACAAGAGGAGCCUGAGGGAAGAAGUUUGCACUACUUAAAGCCUUAAAGUCUUGGCCAGGUGAGUUGUAUCUUCCCUCUUUCUUCAAACACCGUCUUAUUUUUCAUGACUUAUGCUCCAUAUUUUGUCUAAAGGUUGCUAUCCUGACAGGCUUCUCUGGGCAGUUGGUCCUCAGUCCUCUCACUACAGUGGGUGAGAGGGCUAAAGAUAUGCUCGCAAUUAGCCCACUCCCCACUCUGAUUGUUCCUUCCCUCCCCACCCUGUCUUCAUGUAAUUCGGAAAUUAUUCCACACAUCCAGGGAACUCGGUGCUCUGCACAGCUCUGAUGGUGCAGAAAUACAUACCCUGGAGAGAAUUAGCUUUGCAACUUGUGGGGUCAUCUGGAGUAUUUACCAGCCUAUGAAGCACAGGCACUACCCAGCCAGAAAGACACAGGUCCCGGAUGAAGCAAGGCCUUGGAAGCCGCCUGCUAGAUCUGAUGUUAACCUUUAGUUUCAAGAUUGGGGAAAUUGGGGAAGGGGAUUUGAAUAGCUCAGUUUGGAGGGUGGUUGGUGCAGCAGCUGUUUACCAACCAUUUUAUCAAUCUGUAAGGCUCUAAGACUGACACAUUCUCAUUGCAUUUUAACAUUUCUGAAGUUGGGAUGCUUGUUUUUCAGUCAGUUCAGUUUAAUGAAAUAACAGUAACCUUGCCAGCAUCAUGCAUUGCAGUUUUUUUUUUUUUAAUUUUUUUUCAACGUUUUUUAUUUAUUUUUGGGACAGAGAGAGACAGAGCAUGAACGGGGGAGGGGCAGAGAGAGAGGGAGACACAGAAUCGGAAACAGGCUCCAGGCUCCGAGCCAUCAGCCCAGAGCCUGACGCGGGGCUCGAACUCACGGACCGCGAGAUCGUGACCUGGCUGAAGUCGGACGCUUAACCGACUGCGCCACCCAGGCGCCCCACAUUGCAGUUUUUAAAGCCACAAAGGAGAUAGUCCUGACACCUGACAGGGGCCACCUGCUUUAGGAGGGAUUUAAAACGUUUGUGAUUCAGGGCACCUGGGUGGCGCAGUCGGUUAAGCGUCCGACUUCAGCCAGGUCACGAUCUCGCGGUCCGUGAGUUCGAGCCCCGUGUCAGGCUCUGGGCUGAUGGCUCGGAGCCUGGAGCCUGUUUCCGAUUCUGUGUCUCCCUCUCUCUC